UGAUAGUGAUAUCAUCUUAGUUCUUUCCUUCUAUUGUGGGAGGAAACUAAUGUCUAAUAUAAUAUGUGUUACAAAAGACUCAAUUUAUCCAAUAAAACUUCAAGACAAUUUCAAAGGACCUCUGAAAGACUGAUUUCUGAACCACUUCCAAGACAUAUUACUUAAGACUACAAAUGAGGAUUUCUGGUUUGCUUUCAAAUGGUUCUGAUGUUCCUCAUUUUGUUAUGUUUUUCAGUUGGUGCUGGUAUCACUGUACCUCUCAAAUAGCUUCCCCAUUUUGACUAAGAAUGAAGAGGUUCUUGGAUAAAGAACUUGUAAAAAUCAGUUUUACACACAGCCCAAAAGAUGGACAUUUGGCAAAUCAUAAUGGACUGCUCCUUUCCCAGGUGAUUCAAAUUAUUGAAGUGAUAGCAAGUACAAAAGCAUGCCUGGAGGUAAGGACUCUUUAUAGUAUUAAAAAAUAAAUUUAAUUUAGAAAAUAUGUCUUCACUUGAAAUACAACUGGACAAUGGGUUAGGCAAAAAGAAUGUUACUUUAAAAUCAAGACAUUUGUUCUACACUGCUUCAUUCUUCUAGGAAAGUGACAGUUUAUCCAACCUGUUUAGUCACAUUAGUUCAUAGCAGAUGAGAUCAAAAUGAAGGAUCUAUUUAAAAUCGUAUUGUGAAAUACCAACUAAAAUACAACAGAUGUGAACUCUUUACACAUAUUCCGUUCUGGAAUCAACUCUGGGUUUUUUGUUUGCUUGUUUUUCCUUUUAAAGCUAAUUCACAGCUAGCAAAGCAAAGAUGGGUUGCCCUUAAUUUUGAUCCCCAGAAGCAGCUUUGGGUUCCCAUUUUGGCAGAUUGCAAUUUAUAUAUAUCUCAUAGCAAACCCUGUAGGGUGUUGUCAGCAAUUAACUCUGACAUCAAGGAGUUUAACAGUCAUUCAACGUUGAUCCAAUGAUUGAGCACUGGUAGGCACAAAGCAGCAUGAAGCCCAGCAGUGAAAUUUAAGAUGAGAAAGAUAACACAGUGUCUGUCCCCAGAGUGCUGACUAUCUAUUCACAAGAGUAAUGUCCCUAAUAGCUCUUUUGCAGAUUUCUGUUAAUUUUUGUUUCGAUCAGAUGUCCAUGGACUUUGAUAAAGCCUAGGACAGAAUUGUGAAAUAGUGUAAAAAGUCACAGAGAAAUCACUCCAAAGGAGCAUAGGUAAUCUGCUAAUGACAAAUUAUUUCCGCAUAGUACCCACUCUUAGUAAUGUUCAAGUAUUUUUAACACCAAAAGUCUCAACUGUGAAUAAUUUUUAUUUCUUAUUUUUCUUACAUGAAUGUAUGAUUUGUUUUUUAUAGAAAAUUUAGGAAACAUUUAAAAUACAAAAAAGAAAAUCCAUAUUUCUACUACCUAAGCUCAAAUCACUUUAUUCGUAUUUUUGUGUGUAUCAUGGUUACUUUUUCUCCAUUUAUAUACAUAUAAAAUCCCAUUUAAGCAAUGGAAUUUUACUAUUUUAUAAUCUUUUAAAACAAACCUCAUGACAUAUUUAUAAUAUCUUUUUAGUACAUAGUCUUCCUCAACAUCAAUUUCAGUGCUUUCACAAUAUUCUAGUGCAUGGAUAUGCCAUACUUUAUUUCUAUCAUAUUUUAGAACUUCCUAUUAGUGCACAUUUACCUUUCAAUUUUUUG
RNAcentral lists this long non-coding RNA (1657 nucleotides) under Macaca fascicularis (crab-eating macaque). RNAcentral describes it as "lncRNA (ENSMFAG00000063715.1)". The record is from RNAcentral. Lineage: Eukaryota; Metazoa; Chordata; Mammalia; Primates; Cercopithecidae.